This 375-nucleotide ribosomal RNA is filed under the name uncultured organism. RNAcentral's name for it is "partial 16S ribosomal RNA". It matches the Rfam family "Bacterial small subunit ribosomal RNA", at positions 527 to 897 of the family's 1533-position model. The record is from RNAcentral.
GUAGGUGGCAAGCGUUGUCCGGAAUUAUUGGGCGUAAAGCGCGCGCAGGCGGUCCUUUAAGUCUGAUGUGAAAGCCCACGGCUCAACCGUGGAGGGUCAUUGGAAACUGGGGGACUUGAGUACAGAAGAGGAAAGCGGAAUUCCAAGUGUAGCGGUGAAGUGCGUAGAGAUUUGGAGGAACACCAGUGGCGAAGGCGGCUUUCUGGUCUGUAACUGACGCUGAGGCGCGAAAGCGUGGGGAGCAAACAGGAUUAGAUACCCUGGUAGUCCACGCCGUAAACGAUGAGUGCUAAGUGUUAGGGGGUUUCCCGCCCCCUUAGUGCUGCAGCUAACGCAUUAAGCACUCCGCCUGGGGGAGUACGGCCGCAAGGCUGA